GACGAACGCUGGCGGCGUGCUUAACACAUGCAAGUCGAACGAAGAGCGAUGGAAGCUUGCUUCUAUCAAUCUUAGUGGCGAACGGGUGAGUAACGCGUAAUCAACCUGCCCUUCAGAGGGGGACAACAGUUGGAAACGACUGCUAAUACCGCAUACGAUCUAAUCUCGGCAUCGAGGAUAGAUGAAAGGUGGCCUCUACAUGUAAGCUAUCACUGAAGGAGGGGAUUGCGUCUGAUUAGCUAGUUGGAGGGGUAACGGCCCACCAAGGCGAUGAUCAGUAGCCGGUCUGAGAGGAUGAACGGCCACAUUGGGACUGGGACACGGCCCAGACUCCUACGGGAGGCAGCAGUGGGGAAUCUUCCGCAAUAGACGAAAGUCUGACGGAGCAACGCCGCGUGAGUGAUGACGGCCUUCGGGUUGUAAAGCUCUGUUAAUCGGGACGAAAGGCCUUCUUGCGAAUAGUGAGAAGGAUUGACGGUACCGGAAUAGAAAGCCACGGCUAACUACGUG
RNAcentral lists this ribosomal RNA (510 nucleotides) under uncultured bacterium. RNAcentral's name for it is "partial 16S ribosomal RNA". It matches the Rfam family "Bacterial small subunit ribosomal RNA", at positions 28 to 507 of the family's 1533-position model. The record is from RNAcentral.